GUCUUUUUGAGUUAUUUUUAAAGUCUGACCUGCCCACUGAAAUUUUAAAUGGCCGCAGUAUUCUAACUGUGCAAAGGUAGCAUAAUCAUUAGUCUUUUAAUUGAAGGCUGGUAUGAACGGUUGGACGAGGUAUAAGCUGUUUCAUAUGAAUUUAUAAUAGAAUUUUAUAUUUUAGUCAAAAAGCUGAAAUGUAGUUAAAAGACGAGAAGACCCUAUAAAUCUUUAUAUUUUGUGUAAUUUAAAUUUUUUUGAUUUGUUUUAUUUUUAUUAUAUUAAAUAUUUUGUUGGGGUGAUGUUAAAAUUUAAUGAACUUUUAAUUGUUUUAAAUCAUUAAUUUAUGAAUUAUUGAUCCGUUAAUAGUGAUUAUAAGAUUAAGUUACUUUAGGGAUAACAGCGUAAUUUUUUUGGAGAGUUCUUAUCGAUAAAAAAGUUUGCGACCUCGAUGU
Molecule: ribosomal RNA, 446 nt
Filed under: Dacus humeralis
Lineage: Eukaryota; Metazoa; Arthropoda; Insecta; Diptera; Tephritidae
Description: partial 16S ribosomal RNA
Source: RNAcentral